Molecule: long non-coding RNA, 739 nt
Organism: Uranotaenia lowii
Lineage: Eukaryota; Metazoa; Arthropoda; Insecta; Diptera; Culicidae
Exons: 3
Source: RefSeq, a predicted model, not a curated record
AAGCACAAGUUUUCAUUCUACUGGGUUUUACAGAGCUCCUGGGGCCUUCAAUCGAGCUUUCUGGCGAUGGCCGCACAAGUACCAGUAGCCGCAAUGGAUGGAAAUAAUCCCGGGGUGUCUAAACUCCAGCGGAUUCGAUAUCCCAAGUUAUCAAUUUUCUACCGUAUCAUCUGUAAAAGGAACUACAAGAACUUUUACAAUCAAGAGAAAACUCGGGGAGCUUAAUUCGUUCUAUCGAAAGCUAAGUGCAGUUGAAUGCUACACACCUGGGCAGCAGCGUUCAGUGUUAAAAGUUACGUUGAACAAAAACGAUGAUGGGGCAGAAAACCUCCUGCCUGUUGUAAACUUUCUGAAUUCGGCUAUUCGGCGCAGGAGGAGAAAAGAAUAAUGUCCCGGCCUUCUUAAUUCAUCUGAUGUGGAUGUCGGCAAGGAUCGCAAAACCCUUUUGGAACCCUGUGCGGCUGACCAUAGGUCCGGGCCUUUAGAGACGAGUGAAAGUGCAUCGAGCAAUGGAAACAACGUGAAAGAAGCGAGUGCAGUUUUCGAAAAUCUUCGGAUAAUUUUUAAUAGGAUAAGCGAAAAUGUCUACAGUUUUAGUUGAAUAUUAAAGCGAUGUAAACAAAUUUCUUAUUGAACUUAUUUUUUAUUAGAACAGAAAGCCCUAUAAAACACAAAGUGUAAAAUUACAUCACAUAUGAUGUAACCAAAAAGAAGCAUAAUAAACGACGGAAUUUUCCAU